CCCGAGUUGGUGUAACGGUAGCAUGUCCGGAUGAGGACGGGUAGGUCCUGAACCUACUUGCCCCUUCGGGGGAGUCGGAAGACCCAGGUUCAAACCCUGGACUUGGGG
Non-coding RNA from Fusarium culmorum, 108 nucleotides. NCBI's taxonomy places the organism in Eukaryota, Fungi, Ascomycota, Sordariomycetes, Hypocreales, Nectriaceae. The record is from the annotation of a GenBank genome assembly.